UACGAAGGGGGCUAGCGUUGCUCGGAAUUACUGGGCGUAAAGCGCACGUAGGCGGAUUCCUAAGUCGGGGGUGAAAUCCUGGAGCUCAACUCCAGAACUGCCUUCGAUACUGGGAAUCUUGAGUCCGGAAGAGGUGAGUGGAACUGCGAGUGUAGAGGUGAAAUUCGUAGAUAUUCGCAAGAACACCAGUGGCGAAGGCGGCUCACUGGUCCGGUACUGACGCUGAGGUGCGAAAGCGUGGGGAGCAAACAGG
This 253-nucleotide ribosomal RNA is filed under the name uncultured bacterium. Its description in RNAcentral is "partial 16S ribosomal RNA". It matches the Rfam family "Bacterial small subunit ribosomal RNA", at positions 524 to 776 of the family's 1533-position model. The record is from RNAcentral.